Long non-coding RNA from Magallana angulata, 2181 nucleotides. RefSeq lists it as uncharacterized. The record is from RefSeq and is a predicted model, not a curated record. Lineage: Eukaryota; Metazoa; Mollusca; Bivalvia; Ostreida; Ostreidae. The transcript is spliced from 3 exons.
ACAAAGUGACUGGCGAGUGUGAUGGUCGGAGAAAUUUACGUGACUUAAAUCACAACUAACUUUAUCUCAAUGCGACGCUAUUGCCAAUGGAAUAUGUCUGUAAUUAGAUCUGGUGAUAGUGUCUGCACCAUCAACAUUUUGAUUAUCACCGGCGCGCCAACCAAACAAGUCGGGCUGUAAAGGGUCAGCCAGAGUUCGCCUCCGCGAAUGUCAACACAUUGUACUGAGGCCCUUUCGUAUUGGAUCAAUGGAAUAGUCCUCGCAAAACCAGGCAAGUACAAAUUAAUUAAUCAAUUUUUUUUUCAUUUCGAUGUUUGAAUUCAUAUUAAAAAAAUAAAAUAAUUAGUUGACACAUCUUGGCUAAAAAAUGGGUUUUUGUAAAAUAGCGGACAUGCAAUGUCCGUCUUUUAAGCUGUCCUUUUAAUUUUCAUAGAUAUGGCAUUGUGUCUGAAAAUAGUAAAGCAAACAUAGUUUAAUAUUUAAUAAAAUUAAAAGUUCACGCCGAGUGGAUUUUAACCAUGCCUAAUGUCUUGUGGAACUGUGGUCUGGUAUAAUCAAAUCUUAGUUCAGAAGCCCGUUAUUGAGAGGUCAUGAUGUUCACUAAAUUAAAUCUAACGGUCUUCUCUUUUAAAUAUGUCCACCAAUAAUUUCUUUGCAAUGAAUUUCAUAGGAAAGAAGGAAAAAGAAAUGGGGGGAUAGGUUUGUCCAGCACGCCAGGGAUUUUUUUGUCGCUGGUAUUUAAAAUUGAUACAAAUGACUGUUCAAUCAUUGAAUAAACAUCUAUGAGAUAUUAGUUGUUCGUUGAAAUCGGUAAAUUUUACGACAUAUAUUGCUAAAUAUGUAUAAAUUAGUUUUUUAAGCUCUAUGAAUCUGUCAAGUUUAUUAGGUUGGUUUUAAAGAUUACAGCCUAUGUUUGUUAAUCUCUUUUACCCUGUGGCGAGUUUACUCUGAAUGUUAUUUCAAAUCAUUUUCAAUGGAAGAAAUAUAUGUACAUGUACACUAGUGUCUGAAGAAGUCGAAUAGAGGUCACGUGACAAAAUGGCGUCCCAGGUCAAAGCCCUAUGAUGGCUGCCGUGGAAAGGUCCUGGCCGAUUAUUGCACGCUGUAAUCAGUUUUUGCAUGCCAACACUCGUUGGUUUAAUGCUAGAUCAUUUUGUUUUAACUUGGGUCAUUGUUGAAAUGAAAUUCAAUAGGUUUUUUUCUCAUUAUUCUAUUAAAUCAUGUUGUCAUGCUUGAAAAUAUUAAGAAAGUGUCUUAUGAAUAUUAAGUGUUUUCAUCACUGUGUCCUCCUUUUUGUGCCUACAUUGUUUUAACCAAUCACAUGUCAAUUAAUAAGUGUACACAAAAUAUCAAAUCUGUGACAAUGAAGAAACCUUUUGGUUUAUGUUUUACUUAAAUGUUGUGCCCUUUACAGAUAAUUUUCCAACAAAGCAAGGUCGAUCAAUAAAAUUGCUUAAAAGGAAAAGGAUUUAGAGCAAAAAUGGGUAAAUAAAAUGGUGUCAUUUCCUCAAGGAUAUAUUCAAAUGAAAUUAAAUUGAUUUUUAACGGGGGGAAAUCAGGGUAUUGAUAUGUUUUAGGUGUUUUGAUCUUGGAUUGUGCCUGUUCCAAUGAUAAACAGGUUUACGCAAUUUUUUAACUACAUCGUAUGCUUGGCAAUAUAAAUUGAAACUGUCUUUUAAAUUACAUAUUUCUGUAUUAAAUACAAAACUUACAAAAGAAGAUAUAAACAGUUGUUUUUUUAGAAUGUUUCGUGAUUUUUAUAAUGAAUUUCCUUUGUGAUUAAAUUAGGAGGCAUUAAUAAAGAUUGUAAGUGGCUAAAAUGGAAGAUGGUUUACGCAUUGAACCAUUUUAUUUAUUACAUCAAAGCCCAUGGCCUUGAAACUUGUUAUUUUCGACAAACAAUUUUGCUAUUUUUUAUUUGGACAUGCGCAGUAGAUUGUGGUGAGAAAACAGCGGUAUAAAACGCUGCCAUGCUUAAGGCGCUUCACUUGAGAAAGAAAUUUUAAUGAUUGUAUAAUUUUUCACUUUGGAAGACCAUUAUAUAAAUCGUUUUCUGAGCAAUGCAAAUUGCAAUAAUUAUCAAUGUUUAGAGUAACUACAUGUAUAUAUAUAUAUAUGAUGCUGCAUGUGGUAUGAAACUGUUUUUUAAUUAAAUUUGGAUUUAUAACAUUAGAUUUUUCA